Molecule: ribosomal RNA, 1155 nt
Filed under: Salmonella enterica subsp. enterica serovar Typhimurium
Lineage: Bacteria; Pseudomonadati; Pseudomonadota; Gammaproteobacteria; Enterobacterales; Enterobacteriaceae
Description: bacterial SSU rRNA
Rfam family: Bacterial small subunit ribosomal RNA
Source: RNAcentral
UGAAGAGUUUGAUCAUGGCUCAGAUUGAACGCUGGCGGCAGGCCUAACACAUGCAAGUCGAACGGUAACAGGAAGCAGCUUGCUGCUUCGCUGACGAGUGGCGGACGGGUGAGUAAUGUCUGGGAAACUGCCUGAUGGAGGGGGAUAACUACUGGAAACGGUGGCUAAUACCGCAUAACGUCGCAAGACCAAAGAGGGGGACCUUCGGGCCUCUUGCCAUCAGAUGUGCCCAGAUGGGAUUAGCUUGUUGGUGAGGUAACGGCUCACCAAGGCGACGAUCCCUAGCUGGUCUGAGAGGAUGACCAGCCACACUGGAACUGAGACACGGUCCAGACUCCUACGGGAGGCAGCAGUGGGGAAUAUUGCACAAUGGGCGCAAGCCUGAUGCAGCCAUGCCGCGUGUAUGAAGAAGGCCUUCGGGUUGUAAAGUACUUUCAGCGGGGAGGAAGGUGUUGUGGUUAAUAACCGCAGCAAUUGACGUUACCCGCAGAAGAAGCACCGGCUAACUCCGUGCCAGCAGCCGCGGUAAUACGGAGGGUGCAAGCGUUAAUCGGAAUUACUGGGCGUAAAGCGCACGCAGGCGGUCUGUCAAGUCGGAUGUGAAAUCCCCGGGCUCAACCUGGGAACUGCAUUCGAAACUGGCAGGCUUGAGUCUUGUAGAGGGGGGUAGAAUUCCAGGUGUAGCGGUGAAAUGCGUAGAGAUCUGGAGGAAUACCGGUGGCGAAGGCGGCCCCCUGGACAAAGACUGACGCUCAGGUGCGAAAGCGUGGGGAGCAAACAGGAUUAGAUACCCUGGUAGUCCACGCCGUAAACGAUGUCUACUUGGAGGUUGUGCCCUUGAGGCGUGGCUUCCGGAGCUAACGCGUUAAGUAGACCGCCUGGGGAGUACGGCCGCAAGGUUAAAACUCAAAUGAAUUGACGGGGGCCCGCACAAGCGGUGGAGCAUGUGGUUUAAUUCGAUGCAACGCGAAGAACCUUACCUGGUCUUGACAUCCACAGAAGAAUCCAGAGAUGGAUUGGUGCCUUCGGGAACUGUGAGACAGGUGCUGCAUGGCUGUCGUCAGCUCGUGUUGUGAAAUGUUGGGUUAAGUCCCGCAACGAGCGCAACCCUUAUCCUUUGUUGCCAGCGAUUAGGUCGGGAACUCAAAGGAGACU